This is an RNA transcript of Cinclus cinclus, 1625 nucleotides long. It is a transcript of the gene named cilia- and flagella- associated protein 210-like, with no coding region annotated. The transcript is spliced from 8 exons. NCBI's taxonomy places the organism in Eukaryota, Metazoa, Chordata, Aves, Passeriformes, Cinclidae. The record is from RefSeq and is a predicted model, not a curated record.
GCUGCCAUUGUCCGCCUCGGCGUCGGAACGCUCCCGCGGCCACCGCCUUUGAGCGGGAGAAGGAGCCCCGAUUUCCCAGGAAGCCGGGCCGCCGGUGAGGAUCCCUCCUUCUCCUUCGGUAGACGUUCCGUCUCCGCAAAGCCGGCGAAGAAGGCCGACGAUGGACCUCGAUGGGCCGGACGCCGCCCGCCAGGACGCGGAGCUGGAGCAUGGGCGCUACCUGAGCCGCCGGGCCGUGGCCCGGGAGCAGCUGGCGCAAAUAAAGGAGCACAAGGAUCAAGCAGACCUGGCCAAGCUGGAAACCAGAAGAGAAGGAGAACGAAUACAGCGAUCGAGCCAGUUAUACCAACUGGAAAUUCAGAGAGAAAAAGAAAAGGAACAGGAGAAAAAAGCUGAAUUCCAAAGGCAGCAUCAUGAAUAUGUAGCUGAACAGAAAAUAUUUAAAGCUGAAGAGAAAGAAAAAGAAGACAAAGAUGAUGAUCGGAUUAAGGCUUAUAUUAAAGGAAAAGAAAUGAUGGCUGAUCUGACAAGAGAAAAACAUGCAGAGACUAACAGGAUGAUACAGAAGCAUAAGGACAAAGCUUUUGAACAAUUAACUGCACAGAUGAAUGAGACACUUAAGAUUGAAGAUGAUCGUCUUGCUAGAGGAGCUGCAGAAGUAGAAGUUGAGUACCAAAUGCAAAACAAAGAGAAAGAAAUAAAAAAAAAGGCUGCUAUUGAAUCUAUUGAAGAACACAGAGUCAGUGUGAUGAAGUUGAAAGGGGAAAAGGAGAGACAGGAGAAAGAAGACAAUGAGAAGGAUCGUAGUCAGUGGAUGACAGAAAAUGGCAUAUAUCUGGAAAUGGAAAAAGCCAAGAAACAAAGACAGCGUGAUGCAAACAUGGAAGUACAGAAAAUUCAGCUCCAGCAAAUGGCUGAAAAGCAGGCAAGAAAAGAGCAGGAAAAGCAAGCAGACUUGGACUGCGAUGCUCAGAGAGAGGCUGCUUUCCAUCAGGAUCAAGCAUUUCGGAGAUAAAGACAUGCUCAUUUUAUUACAUGAAGCUUUUUUUCAGCAAGCAGAAAGAAUGGAAACUUUUGUAAAAGCCUUUUGAUGGCAGAAGCUGGAGCCUUAAGAAGUACUGACUACAGCAGGAGUGGUGCUGAAACCUGCAGAGCUCGAUAAUGCUCCAUAUGCAUCCCUAAGUGCAAAUUUGCACAUGCUCACUACUAUGCAUUUGAAGCAUCUACAAAGGAGUAAGAAGCUCGCCACUCUCUCCUUCCAAGUUCUGUUUGCCUGCAAAACCAAUCAGUGCCCAACAGCAGAAGCUAACUGUGGACCAAGUUACAAGACAUGCUUUUUGCUGGAACCUGCCUAUAACUCAAGCUCAAGAAACAAGUGCCUAGCUUGCAACUGUACUGUAGUCUAAUAUUAUUAUGGAACAAAGCAGUAGAUUAUUUUCAGAAAGUCAAGAGGUAACAACCAAAGUUAAACUGUCAGUUCAUCUGUACUGUACUGUACUCCUUGAAUAUUGCUGGGCCUCCAGGCUUAAUUCAAACCUUUUGUUUUGACUUGAAAAAAAAAAAUCUUACUGAGCAAACAAAAUUGAGUACAUCUGUCUGUAACAAUAAAAUCCAUGCUGACUAUA